RNAcentral lists this ribosomal RNA (251 nucleotides) under uncultured bacterium. RNAcentral's name for it is "partial 16S ribosomal RNA". It matches the Rfam family "Bacterial small subunit ribosomal RNA", at positions 333 to 581 of the family's 1533-position model. The record is from RNAcentral.
UUCAUCCUACGGGGGGCAGCAGUGAGGAAUAUUGGUCAAUGGCCGAGAGGCUGAACCAGCCAAGUCGCGUGAGGGAAGACGGCCCUACGGGUUGUAAACCUCUUUUGUCGGGGAGCAAAGCGAGUCACGUGUGACUCAUUGAGAGUACCCGAAGAAAAAGCAUCGGCUAACUCCGUGCCAGCAGCCGCGGUAAUACGGAGGAUGCGAGCGUUAUCCGGAUUUAUUGGGUUUAAAGGGUGCGCAGGCGGAGG